GCAAACUUGGUCAUUUAGAGGAAGUAAAAGUCGUAACAAGGUUUCCGUAGGUGAACCUGCGGAAGGAUCAUUACAGAGAACUUGCCCCUCGGGGUAUAUCUCCUACCCUAUGUUUACAAUACCAUGUUGCUUUGGCAGGCCCGUCUUCUUGACCACCGGCUUCGGCUGGUCCGUGCCUGCCAGAGGAUCAAAACCCUAUAUAUUUUGUGUUCGGAGUUUAGUUUCGAUAGUUAAAACUUUCAACAACGGAUCUCUUGGUUCUGGCAUCGAUGAAGAACGCAGC
Molecule: unclassified non-coding RNA, 283 nt
Filed under: uncultured fungus
Lineage: Eukaryota; Fungi
Description: partial contains small subunit ribosomal RNA, internal transcribed spacer 1, and 5.8S ribosomal RNA
Rfam family: Eukaryotic small subunit ribosomal RNA (bases 1-73)
Source: RNAcentral